CCUACGGGAGGCAGCAGUGGGGAAUAUUGGACAAUGGGCGAAAGCCUGAUCCAGCAAUGCCGCGUGAGUGAUGAAGGCCUUAGGGUUGUAAAGCUCUUUUACCAGGGAUGAUAAUGACAGUACCUGGAGAAUAAGCUCCGGCUAACUCCGUGCCAGCAGCCGCGGUAAUACGGAGGGAGCUAGCGUUGUUCGGAAUUACUGGGCGUAAAGCGUACGUAGGCGGCGAUUCAAGUCAGAGGUGAAAGCCUGGAGCUCAACUCCAGAACUGCCUUUGAAACUAGAUUGCUAGAAUCGUGGAGAGGUGAGUGGAAUUCCGAGUGUAGAGGUGAAAUUCGUAAGAUAUUCGGAAGAACACCAGUGGCGAAGGCGGCUCACUGGACACGUAUUGACGCUGAGGUACGAAAGCGUGGGGAGCAAACAGGAUUAGAUACCCUGGUAGUCCACGCCGUAAACGAUGAUAACUAGCUGCCAGGGUUCUUAGAACUUUGGUGGCGCAGCUACGACAUUAAGUUAUCCGCCGUGGGAGGUACGGUCGGCGAAGAAUUAAAACUUAAAAUUAGAAGUUAGACGGCGUGAGACGUAGCCGACGGACGACGACGAGGGAGGAGG
Molecule: ribosomal RNA, 609 nt
Filed under: uncultured bacterium
Lineage: Bacteria
Description: bacterial SSU rRNA
Rfam family: Bacterial small subunit ribosomal RNA (bases 1-519)
Source: RNAcentral